This 253-nucleotide ribosomal RNA is filed under the name uncultured bacterium. RNAcentral's name for it is "partial 16S ribosomal RNA". It matches the Rfam family "Bacterial small subunit ribosomal RNA", at positions 524 to 776 of the family's 1533-position model. The record is from RNAcentral. RNAcentral also lists the same sequence under 1 other name.
UACGGAGGGUGCAAGCGUUGUCCGGAUUUAUUGGGUUUAAAGGGUGCGUAGGCGGGGUCUUAAGUCAGUGGUGAAAGCCGGCAGCUCAACUGUCGAAUUGCCAUUGAUACUGGGGUCCUUGAAUUCAGUUGAGGUAUGCGGAAUUGAUGGUGUAGCGGUGAAAUGCAUAGAUACCAUCAGGAACACCGAUUGCGAAGGCAGCAUACUGGGCUUGAAUUGACGCUGAGGCACGAAAGUGUGGGGAUCGAACAGG